Molecule: ribosomal RNA, 376 nt
Filed under: uncultured Legionella sp.
Lineage: Bacteria; Pseudomonadati; Pseudomonadota; Gammaproteobacteria; Legionellales; Legionellaceae
Description: bacterial SSU rRNA
Rfam family: Bacterial small subunit ribosomal RNA
Source: RNAcentral
GUAGCUGGUCUGAGAGGAUGGCCAGCCACACUGGAACUGAGACACGGUCCAGACUCCUACGGGAGGCAGCAGUGGGGAAUAUUGGACAAUGGGGGCAACCCUGAUCCAGCAAUGCCGCGUGUGUGAAGAAGGCCUGAGGGUUGUAAAGCACUUUCAGUGGGGAGGAGGGUUGAUAGGUUAAGAGCUARUUAAUUGGACGUUACCCACAGAAGAAGCACCGGCUAACUCCGUGCCAGCAGCCGCGGUAAUACGGAGGGUGCGAGCGUUAAUCGGAAUUACUGGGCGUAAAGGGUGCGUAGGUGGUUKAUUAAGUUAUCUGUGAAAUCCCUGGGCUUAACCUGGGCAGGUCAGAUAAGACUGUUUGACUCGAGUAUGG